Long non-coding RNA from Rhinolophus ferrumequinum (greater horseshoe bat), 1845 nucleotides. The record is from Ensembl. Lineage: Eukaryota; Metazoa; Chordata; Mammalia; Chiroptera; Rhinolophidae.
CCAUAACCCCCUGGCUCCCCCCACACAGCCACCCCCCCACUAUCAGCAUCCCCCUGCACAGUGUACACUUGUUAGUCUGACACAUCAUUGUCACCCGAAUUCCAUAGUUUCAUUAGUGUUCACUUUGUGCUGUACAUUCUGUCAGUUUGGACAAACGUAUGACGUGUAUGCGUCAUUAUAGUGUCAUACAGAAAAGUUUCACAGCCCUGAAGGUCCUCUGAGCGCUGCCUGUUCACCCCUCCCUCCCCUUAACCCCUGACAACCACUGACGUUUUCACUCUCUCCAUAGUUUUGCCUUUUCUAGAAUGUCACAUAGUUGGACACAUACAGUCUGUAGCCCUUCAAACUGGCUUCCUUCGCAUGAUACCAAUAGGCGUUUACUGUUCCUCCAUGUCUUUUCAUGGCUGAGAGCUCAUUUCGUUUCAGUGCUGAGUGAUAGUCCAUUUCUGGAUGUACCUGUGUUUCUCCACUCACCUACUGAAGGACGUGUGGUUGCUUCCAAGUUUUGCCAAUUCUGAAUAUGCCACUGUAAUCAUGCAUGUGCAGGUUUUCUUGUGGACAUAGUUUCAACUCCUUUGGCUCAGUACCAAGCCGCGGGAUUCCUGGAUCACAGGGUCAGAGUGUUUUGUAAGGAACCGCCAGCUACCUCCCGAGGUGGCUGCCCCGCUUUGAAUUCCCACCAGCCCCGCACGAGAGUUCCUGUUGCUGCACAUGGUCGCCUGCAGCUGAUGUCACUGUUCUGGAUUUGGGACGUUUUAAUUACGUGUAUAGUGGUGAUGUACUCUUUACAAUAAUUUAUAAGUUGUGGAUUAAAAAACCAAAAUUCACCAUCUUCACCAGUCAGUGUACAGCUCAGGGGAGCUAAUGUCGUCACAGUGUUGGGCAGCGGACCUCCACGAUUUUCCAUCUGGCAAAGCAGAAGCCCUGGACCCAUAAACAGCCCGGAGGCGGGCCCAGCCCCGCUACCCCUCCCGCCCUGGGGAUCCUGGGCGGGGCCUCCUGCGCCCCCCAGCGGCCGCCUGCAGAAGAGCGGACAGCCGCGCUACGGGGACCUCAACUCGCGCCGGGCCAGUCCGCACCCCGAGUCAGAUUCAACCGAGCCACGGCCACGACAAGGCCGAAACGCGGGGCGCUGGGCCAGCAGCCAGGCUGGGUCCUCAGCAUCACUGCCAGCAGCCUGGAGGCGAGGGUGGGGGUCACAGCCAGGUAACCACGGGCCCACUGAGAACUAGGACACUUGGUGCUGGGUGUGCAUGUGUUGUGUGGGUGUGUAAAUGUGUGCGUGUGAGUGUGUGUCAAUAUGUAAGAAGAACAUGGGAAGUGUCUGUGAUGUGUGAGUACUUUGUGUGUUGAGUGCACUAGUGUGAAGUGAGGGGACACCCAGACUUCAUGCCCGCCACCCCGUUGUCCUCUGAUCACUGUGCCCUCCCUAUAAUGCCACGCAAGGGCCAGUGACAAGCCUGGGAGGUGAAGGACACUCAGGAGGAGGCAGGUGACGUGGGAAGGCAGGGACGUGUUCUGAGGACAAGGCUCUGACCACACUGAGUGAGCCUAAUGUGAGUGGGUGGCAGGAUCAAGUCCAAAGACCCCUCGUUCUUCCUCGGAGCCUGUACAGAGCUGGGGAGUCAGGUGGGGGUGGACUUCUUGUCUCCACAUCCCUACCCUAGGACAGCACCUGGUGAGGACAGGAUUGACAGGACUUCUGUGGCCACCCCUGGAACGACCUUCCCUGGGCCCUCCCUAUGACCUCUGACAGCAUGUCACCCUGACAGAUUGGCUCAGCGCAGAGGGGAAAGGCCAGUCUCAGCUCCCUUUGUAAACAAGGCCCAGGCUGGUCAAGCUCGC